Molecule: ribosomal RNA, 467 nt
Filed under: uncultured bacterium
Lineage: Bacteria
Description: partial 16S ribosomal RNA
Rfam family: Bacterial small subunit ribosomal RNA
Source: RNAcentral
ACGAACGCUGGCGGCGUGCUUAACACAUGCAAGUCGAACGGAAAGGCCCUGCUUUUGUGGGGUGCUCGAGUGGCGAACGGGUGAGUAACACGUGAGUAACCUGCCCUUGACUUUGGGAUAACUUCAGGAAACUGGGGCUAAUACCGGAUAGGAGCUCCUGCUGCAUGGUGGGGGUUGGAAAGUUACGGCGGUUGGGGAUGGACUCGCGGCUUAUCAACUUGUUGGUGGGGUAGUGGCUUACCAAGGCUUUGACGGGUAGCCGGCCUGAGAGGGUGACCGGCCACAUUGGGACUGAGAUACGGCCCAGACUCCUACGGGAGGCAGCAGUGGGGAAUAUUGCACAAUGGGCGGAAGCCUGAUGCAGCAACGCCGCGUGCGGGAUGACGGCCUUCGGGCUGUAAACCGCUUUCGCCUGUGACGAAGCGUGAGUGACGGUAAUGGGUAAAGAAGCACCGGCUAACUACGUG